AGUCAACGCUGGCGGUAGGCCUAACACAUGCAAGUCGAACGGCAGCACAGUAAGAGCUUGCUCUUACGGGUGGCGAGUGGCGGACGGGUGAGGAAUACAUCGGAAUCUACUUUUUCGUGGGGGAUAACGUAGGGAAACUUACGCUAAUACCGCAUACGACCUACGGGUGAAAGCAGGGGAUCUUCGGACCUUGCGCGAUUGAAUGAGCCGAUGUCGGAUUAGCUAGUUGGCGGGGUAAAGGCCCACCAAGGCGACGAUCCGUAGCUGGUCUGAGAGGAUGAUCAGCCACACUGGAACUGAGACACGGUCCAGACUCCUACGGGAGGCAGCAGUGGGGAAUAUUGGACAAUGGGCGCAAGCCUGAUCCAGCCAUACCGCGUGGGUGAAGAAGGCCUUCGGGUUGUAAAGCCCUUUUGUUGGGAAAGAAAAGCAGCAGGUUAAUACCCCGCUGUUCUGACGGUACCCAAAGAAUAAGCACCGGCUAACUUCGUG
RNAcentral lists this ribosomal RNA (492 nucleotides) under uncultured bacterium. RNAcentral's name for it is "partial 16S ribosomal RNA". It matches the Rfam family "Bacterial small subunit ribosomal RNA", at positions 32 to 507 of the family's 1533-position model. The record is from RNAcentral.